UCGGGAAUUUUGCACAAUGGCCGAAAGGCUGAUGCAGCAACGCCGCGUGAGCGAAGAAGGCCUUCGGGUUGUAAAGCUCUGUUGCCUGCGAAGAAGGGCCCUGUCAGGAAAUGGGCGGGGUUUGACGGUAGCAGGCGAGGAAGCCCCGGCAAACUACGUGCCAGCAGCCGCGGUAAUACGUAGGGGGCGAGCGUUGUCCGGAAUUACUGGGCGUAAAGGGCGUGUAGGCGGCCUGUUAAGUCAGGGGUGAAAGACCGGGGCUCAACCCCGGGGGUGACUCUGAAACUGGCGGGCUUGAGUGCUCUAGAGGGCAGUGGAAUUCCCGGUGUAGCAGUGAAAUGCGUAGAGAUCGGGAGGAACACCAGUGGCGAAGGCGGCUGCCUGGGGAGUCACUGACGCUGAGGCGCGAAAGCUAGGGGAGCAAACAGG
This 429-nucleotide ribosomal RNA is filed under the name bacterium. Its description in RNAcentral is "partial 16S ribosomal RNA". It matches the Rfam family "Bacterial small subunit ribosomal RNA", at positions 355 to 776 of the family's 1533-position model. The record is from RNAcentral.